AACCCCCCUGAGGAGGGGGGGGCCCGUGCUGGCCCCUCCCCUAACCAGCCGCUGCAGGUCCGGCCCGAAGCUGACCCUCGCUCCAGAAUCCGGAAGGCCCGGGACGCCUCCAUCUUGACGGAGAGAAAGAGCUCCAGGAACGUCGAGAAGGAGUGAAAAGAGAGAGUCCUUGAGUCCCCUGUCUGUGCAAGUAAAUGACAAGACUCUUGUGUGACAGAAGAGGAAACUGAGGCACAGAGAAGUGACACCUCCCUGCCCUCACCUCGUCACAGCACUUCCCAGCAAGAGGAGCCCCUAAAAGCCAGCCCAGCCCUGGACCGAGGCUCAGGUUGGUGGAAGGUGGGGGAGGGAUCCCGGAGCUGUCCUGGGCCUCUAGGCCCUGCUGAAGCCCACCAGCUGUGCCUGCCUCUCAAUCUCUCCUUUUCUUGCCCUCCUUUCCUUCUCUGAUCCACUACAGAGAAGAGACCACAGCAAGAAGACAGCCGUCCACAAGCCAGGAGAGUCCUGCACCAGGAACCGAAUUGCUGGCACCUUGAUUUUGGACUUCCCAGCCUCCAGAACUAGCAGCCAGGGGCUAGAGGACUGCAGCCUGACCUAUCGACACGAACGUGUUCCAGUAAGACCCUACUCCUUGAAGAGCCCCUGGAAUGAGAAUAAAGGGAAAGGAGAGAAAGUACUCACCAAGUUUGCACCGAAGCUCCAAGUCCAGAUGUAAAGGCUCAAAGCCCCAUAUUGGACGCCAUAUGAUGGGGUUUUGGAAUAUAGGGCAGCCUGGAGUGCACAAGGAAUGUCACAUAUACCCCAUGGUGGGGGGGUCAGAUUCUGCUCUGUCCUCAGCUUGCCUUCCUUUCCCUCAUCAGAACUGUCGUCCCACCUGCCCCCCUUUCUCUUCCCAUCGCUACCGCGGCCUCUUCCGUCUCACCAGGAGGAGCAACACCCUCCCAUGGCUUGUGCCUCCCCCUAGUACCAGCGCCUGUGCUUGUUUUCGGUGCAGCAACCGGAGUGAGCUUUCAAAAGCAUAAAUCCGACUAUUGCCAAAGAAAAAAUGACUUAUGACACUUGUUAAAACGAUAAGACAAACUUUAUUCAGGACUGUCGUGAAAGGUGCAGGGGCCACGGCAAUGGGGCUUUGUACUAAGGGAGAGAGAUGGAGCUCAGCUCCGAAUAUGGCACGGAAAAGUGGGGAUUUAUAUAGCCAAAGAGCAGGACCAGCGAGUGGGAAAUCGUUAGGAGCCAGUAUGGCCGGGAAGGGGUGGAUUCUGGCUAAGCUGAUUCUUGCAGAGGACAAAGACAGGCCAGGGCAAUCAGGCACCCCCGGUCUGUGCCGGGGAUGAGGGAUUUGGUAAGAUCUUGAGGGAAGGGGAUUCUGCCUAAACCAGCUUGACAGCGUUCUUGCCAAAACCAGACUCGACAAGGACAGGGUCAGAAGCUCAGAUUCCUGCCUAGUAGAGCAGAGGGCUCAGAGGGACCGAAGUAAAGUUUGGCCAGGGAGAGAAUCUUUGUCACCAUGUCCCUCCCCUGCUCAAAACCCUUCCGCAACUUCCUGUUGCUCUUUAAAUGAAAGCCAGACUCAUCUGCUCUAACACUUGGGAUUGAGUUUACAUAAGAGAACUCCAGUAAAGAGCAUAAGCGAGUUGGAGGUGUAGAUCUGUCAGAAGACAGGGGUGGAUAUGCUGGGGUUGAUCCGGCGGGUCUGGAGUCCUGAACGCCUGGGUGUCUCUUCAGCAGGUCCCCUCUCUCGGCACCUUUGUUUUUCAUCUGUGAAAUGGGCACGACGUCAGCACCUCUGUCAGCAAAGGCGGUCGUGUCGUAGAAGUCAGAGAACUCAUGGAUGCUUAGGACACAGCCUGCUACACUGUAAGCAUUAUUAUUAUUACUUUGAAACACUUGUUGCUUAAAUGUAGGUGUGGCCCUCGUAAAGACGGUAGCCACCCAGUUCUGCUCCCUACAAUGUGC
Molecule: long non-coding RNA, 1956 nt
Organism: Ursus maritimus (polar bear)
Lineage: Eukaryota; Metazoa; Chordata; Mammalia; Carnivora; Ursidae
Source: Ensembl